GGGCGUAUAGCUCAGUUGGUUAGAGCGCACGGUUCACAUCCGUGAGGUCACAGGUUCGAGUCCUGUUAUGCCCACCC
Molecule: transfer RNA, 77 nt
Filed under: Chloroflexota bacterium
Lineage: Bacteria; Bacillati; Chloroflexota
Description: Chloroflexi bacterium tRNA-Val
Rfam family: tRNA
About the family: Transfer RNA (tRNA) molecules are approximately 80 nucleotides in length. Their secondary structure includes four short double-helical elements and three loops (D, anti-codon, and T loops).
Source: RNAcentral